GACCGCGUAGCUCAGUUGGCAGAGCAUUGGGCUAGUAUUCCAAAGGUCGUAGGUUUGAUUCCCGCCGUGGCCG
Molecule: non-coding RNA, 73 nt
Organism: Paramuricea clavata
Lineage: Eukaryota; Metazoa; Cnidaria; Anthozoa; Malacalcyonacea; Plexauridae
Source: the annotation of a GenBank genome assembly